AAUUAAAUCUUUAGGUAGUAAUAAACCAUCAUGUAUUGGCGGUCCUUAAUAAUUAGAGAAACUCGCUUUAUAAUCGUAAAUACUCGAUAAUUUUCACUUUUUAUAAAAGCCUAUAUACCGCCGUUUAGAAGUUGUAUUCAGCAUAAAUUUCCAUAACUUUAACUUAUUAGAAAAAAUCAGGUCAAGGUGUAGCUAAUAAAAAAGAAAAAGUAAGUUACAUUAAAUAUAAUUUAAGAAUAUUUAAAAAAAUUUCAAAUUGAAAGAGAAUUUAUAUGUACUUAAUAAUUAAAAAUUAAUAAAGAAUAAAACAUUAGGGAUGU
Molecule: ribosomal RNA, 320 nt
Filed under: Pholcus taarab
Lineage: Eukaryota; Metazoa; Arthropoda; Arachnida; Araneae; Pholcidae
Description: partial 12S ribosomal RNA
Source: RNAcentral